Molecule: ribosomal RNA, 331 nt
Filed under: uncultured bacterium
Lineage: Bacteria
Description: bacterial SSU rRNA
Rfam family: Bacterial small subunit ribosomal RNA
Source: RNAcentral
CGCGUAGGCGGUUCUGUAAGUAGGAUGUGCAAUCCCCGAGCUCAACUUGGGAACUGCAUCCUAGACUGCAAGACUAGAGUGCUGGAGAGGGUGGUAGAAUUCCACGUGUAGCGGUGAAAUGCGUAGAGAUGUGGAGGAAUACCAGUGGCGAAGGCGGCCACCUGGACAGUAACUGACGCUGAGGCGCGAAAGUGUGGGUAGCAAACAGGAUUAGAUACCCUGGUAGUCCACGCUGUAAACGAUGAACACUUGGUGUGGCGGGAGUUGACCCCUGCCGUGCCGGAGCUAACGCGUUAAGUGUUCCGCCUGGGGAUACGGUCGCAAGGCUGAA